GACGAACGCUGGCGGCGUGCUUAACACAUGCAAGUCGAACGGAAAGGCCCUGCUUUUGUGGGGUGCUCGAGUGGCGAACGGGUGAGUAACACGUGAGUAACCUGCCCUUGACUUUGGGAUAACUUCAGGAAACUGGGGCUAAUACCGGAUAGGAGCUCCUGCUGCAUGGUGGGGGUUGGAAAGUUUCGGCGGUUGGGGAUGGACUCGCGGCUUAUCAGCUUGUUGGUGAGGUAGUGGCUUACCAAGGCUUUGACGGGUAGCCGGCCUGAGAGGGUGACCGGCCACAUUGGGACUGAGAUACGGCCCAGAAUCCUACGGGAGGCAGCAGUGGGGAAUAUUGCACAAUGGGCGGAAGCCUGAUGCAGCAACGCCGCGUGCGGGAUGACGGCCUUCGGGUUGUAAACCGCUUUCGCCUGUGACGAAGCGUGAGUGACGGUAAUGGGUAAAGAAGCACCGGCUAACUACGUG
Molecule: ribosomal RNA, 468 nt
Filed under: uncultured bacterium
Lineage: Bacteria
Description: partial 16S ribosomal RNA
Rfam family: Bacterial small subunit ribosomal RNA
Source: RNAcentral